AAGAAAAAUCAUCCUGUGAAGAGAUUGCUGAUCAAAAUUAAAACAAUGAUUCAUAAAACUGGCUUUGUAGCCUUCAUAUUCACCACUCUACUGGGCGCAGCUUCAGCAAUAUUUUUAUUUACAAAAAUAAUUACAUAUUUUGCAAUAUGUUGAGAACAUUAUCAACUAUGUGUAGUAUAGAAAAAAUUGUAAUAUACUUAUAUGUGAUGGGAAUGAGGCUAAAAGGAUAUUGUCUUCUUAAACUCAUAUUAUUUCCUUAUUGGUAAAAUUGGUGUUAAAGUAAGGCAUCUAUCUUCUUUUUCCAUUUUUGUUUAGUUAUUAUAGUAUUUUUAUUUUAAAUGUAUAUAAUACACCAAUCCCUCACUUAGCACGACUAAUUCGUUCCUAAAAAUGUUCGUGUUAAUCGAAAUCGCGUAUUCUGAAGCAUUAGUCCCCAUAAAUAUAAGGCUAAAUUAUUUAAUGUGUUCCAAGAUGUGUAGGGAAGUAAUCUUUACAUAAUAUAAAUGCGUAGAAUAAUACUUGAAAAUGCAUAUGUCAUAUCAUUUAUCUUUUUAAGCCUACCACCGAAUACGUUAGAUAAAGAAAACAUGGCACAGUGUAACGGGAGAUAAGUGGUAACAUAUUUACCGUCAGUCAGCAGGUUGGCUUGCCCGCCCAGGCGUGACCUUCAACACGCGCGCGCGUCUGUCUGCCUGCUGUUGCAAGCAGCUGGAUCCUUUGUUAUUACGUUUAAAACUUAACAAAAUUAAAACACUUUUAUGAAAUUAAGAACCGGUUUUAUAUAACUUUAAAACACACAGCCAUAUGUAAACAUUUAAUUUGUUAUGCACACCUCUUGUAAAAGCGGCUAUGUAAACAAAUCAGUUAACAGAUAAACAGAUUUAGAUUUUCCCUAGAGCACAAACAUAACAUUAAAAUACGGGUACACUCCCUAUUUAACGCGGUUGUCGGGGGACAUAACUUUUACCCGCGUUGUUGCAUAACCGCGAUGUUUCGAUGUGACCAAGGUCAAAAGGCAUAAAACACCGCCUGUGUUCUAAUAGGUCGGCAAGCACGCACAGUAUAGACGGCCCGCCUUUGUGCGGACUUUGCAUCCGCAGUUUCCACUAAACACGGGUGAAAAAAUAAAAAUAAUAAAUUUUAAAGAUAAAUACUAAAUGUUGAAUUGUUUUUAUUUUUCCGCGUGCCGCGCACAGUUUGUCGCACGGCCUACGAGCGCGCCACACGCCGCCAUACACAUGUGCGGCACACAAGCUGCUGCUGCCAGUCUCGUGGUGUUAGCCAGGGGGUGGCAACUCUAAUAGGCCAUUAUGUACCCAGAUACUAUUUUUAAUCUGCACAACAGAUAGCGCUAGUAGAUUGACCUAGUUCUUUUGUAAAUUCAUAGGUAGCGUUAGUGUUCAUAAUCAAAUGUCAAUUGAAUGUUUAUAAGAAACUAAAUUUAUGCAAUAAAUACUAAUAAUGCAAUAAAUAUAGUGUAAUAUUAAUUUAUUUUGAUUUCAAAAACAGUUGAUUUGUAAAAAUUGUUUUUUUUUUGCAGUAAUAUUCGUUUACAGAUUGAUUUGAGCAUUAUAGUCGCUCUUUUUUUUUUCGGUUUGUAGUAGAUUUUGGUCGAGUGAAAGAUGGAUUUUACAAUGGAGUUUGAUUUAUCAUUUUGAAUUAUUUUCCUAUAUGAUUGUGAAUUAAGAAGCCGAUGAAGAUGCCUGUGAAUACACAUCAAUGUUUUGUGUCUUCGUGCAGGAACAGUAUUACUGUUAAUCCUGAUGUGACAACAUUCAGAUUUCCAUGAAGCCGAAGCAAGUUAUUGAAGUGGAUUGCUGCAAUUGGCUAUGACCUUGAUGCCAGUAAUGCUGAAACAUUUAAAACUAAAUAUGUAUGUUCCGAACAUUUUGAUAUUGGAGCUUUCACUACAUGUGACUGCAUCAAAUUGAAUCGUGGUGCUGCUACAACAUAUUUUAAUUCUGUGGACAGUGAAGUAUGGAUCUAUUGUUAUAAUUUAUUAUGUCUAGAAUGCUGCCAAAUAUAGGUGAAAUGUUUAUGUUACAUAACAUAACUUGUAAGAUCUACUUGUGCAGAUAUAUAUUUUCACCUGCCUCUAAGGUCCUUUGUUAUUCACAGGUAGCAUUUACAUGUGAUGAAGCAGUAUUUAACAUUAUUGGUCAACAUGCAGUCCAUCAUUACAACCUUUGUACAGGCGCAUACAAACAUAUAUGUGUGGGGUAUUUCACACUUUUUAUUUGAUGUUAAAGAUUGGUAUGGUGACCGGGAUACUUUUUUUUAUUAAACCUCCUACACAGUUCUCUACUGUUUCCCUUAUCUGUUGCCUUAACAUUUUUUUCCGAUCAGUCCAAUUCCUUGAAUCACAUUGCAAAAAAAGUCACAAUACAUGGGAUUGGGCCACUCUCUUCAAAGAAUUGUAAUUCGAGUUUAAACAUAGCAAGGCUGACCAUAAAUUGUAGAGGAAAAUUUAAAAUGUUGAUCUUCAACAUAUUUAUAACCUAUGAUCAUGUGAUGUAUAUACAGCUAGUUAGAAAGUAAGUUGUAGUAUAGUAUGCAAUUGAACCUUCAAUAAGUUCUACAUCCACACUUAAAAACUUAUUUUACUUGAUGUUUUAUGUUCAAUAACUAUUCAGUAUAAAGGUUUUUUUUUACAUUAUAAACUACAAAAGUAUUCCGAUUUGUAAAUGUAAUGAAAUUCCACUGAGCCCUCUACCUUUUUUUUAACUACCAUUUCUGCCGUGUGGCCUUUUUUUUCUUACUUUUGUGUUCAUUAUAAGUUACAACCACUCAUUUGAUUUAUUGUGUUAAAUUAAAUGAUAUUUAAAAUUGGAUGUCACUUCAUAAGAACAUUCAGGAUUACCUGUAUUCACAGCGCACAAUUAUACAAAAGUUUUUUAUGUAUGUAAAAGUGUUUUACGUAAGCCAGUGGACACAUACAUGUAUUGAGUAACAUGAGAAAAUUGAAAUAUCUAAAAUAAAAUUAAAAGGUUACAAGCUUUUAUAUACAUGCAGCUCCCAAAAAAGUCUGCAUACUAAAAAAUAACACAUGCUUUUAAAUGAAUUCUUACCAUCUUAUAAACUAGUAGUAUUUUGUUAUUUGAUUUCAAAUGAAUUGUUUUUGGUUAAUUUAUUUGACUGUAGGGAUUAAAUAUCAUUUGUAGAAUAAAGUGUGAAAAGUAGUAUUGAUCAAUUUAACUGUAAGUACUAAAUAUGUGUUACAUUUCUUGUAAGUUAAAAUUGUUCAGGUAUUAUAAAUUAGCUGAAAAAAGCAAACUCAUGACUAGAAUAAAUUGUACUGUUAGGUAUGUUUCGAAGAAAGACUACCUGUUGCAGUCGUUACCAUGUGUAUGUACCACAUUUUUAUUGUCAUUAUAACUGCCAUAAUUUUGUACAAAUAAAUCACUUAAUACAUAAAAUAUGGUUAUGGAAAUUC
Molecule: long non-coding RNA, 3433 nt
Organism: Bacillus rossius redtenbacheri
Lineage: Eukaryota; Metazoa; Arthropoda; Insecta; Phasmatodea; Bacillidae
Exons: 2
Source: RefSeq, a predicted model, not a curated record